Molecule: ribosomal RNA, 253 nt
Filed under: uncultured bacterium
Lineage: Bacteria
Description: partial 16S ribosomal RNA
Rfam family: Bacterial small subunit ribosomal RNA
Source: RNAcentral
UACGAAGGGGACUAGCGUUGUUCGGAAUCACUGGGCGUAAAGCGCACGUAGGCGGAUGUGUCAGUCAGGGGUGAAAUCCCGGGGCUCAACCUCGGAACUGCCUUUGAUACAGCACGUCUCGAGCCCGGAAGAGGUGGGUGGAAUUCCUAGUGUAGAGGUGAAAUUCGUAGAUAUUAGGAAGAACACCGGUGGCGAAGGCGGCCCACUGGUCCGGUACUGACGCUGAGGUGCGAAAGCGUGGGGAGCAAACAGG